Molecule: ribosomal RNA, 488 nt
Filed under: uncultured bacterium
Lineage: Bacteria
Description: bacterial SSU rRNA
Rfam family: Bacterial small subunit ribosomal RNA
Source: RNAcentral
GAUGAACGCUAGCGGCAGGCUUAACACAUGCAAGUCGAGGGGCAUCGAGAGUAGCAAUACUUGUCGGCGACCGGCGCAAGGGUGCGUAACACGUGAGCAACAUACCCGUUUCAGGAGGAUAACCGGAGGAAACUCUGCCUAAUACUCCAUGACAUCAUCAAACGGCAUCGUUUGAUGAUUAAAGAUUUAUCGGAAACGGCUUGGCUCGCGGGACAUUAGCUCGUUGGUGAGGUAACGGCUCACCAAGGCGACGAUGUCUAGGGGUUCUGAGAGGAAGGUCCCCCACACUGGAACUGAGACACGGUCCAGACUCCUACGGGAGGCAGCAGUGAGGAAUCUUGCGCAAUGGGGGAAACCCUGACGCAGCAACGCCGCGUGAGUGAGGAAGGCCUUCGGGUCGUAAAGCUCUGUCGGGUGGAAGAAACGCAUGGGUGCUAAUACCAUCUAUGCUUGACGUACGCCAAGGAAGCACCGGCUAACUCCGUGCC